UCAACAACAAGGACUUAAUCUGCUUUAUUUACCUCUAUGGAUUAAAUAAGCCAAGCCAACAAUUGUCUGACUGCUUGUCUUCCAUCCAACCAAGUAUCUUUCCUUCCUUCUUUAUUGCCUUCCAAGACAACAAGAACAAAUUCAAUCUCUCGAUCAUGUCUUGCUUUUUUCACCAUUCAAUUCAUAUUGAAAAUGGUGUAGCCUAUCGACAAAGGUAUAUGAUCCGACCAAUCGUCGUGGAUAAAGAGAGAGCAAAGCUAUUGAUACAGUCCUAU
This 275-nucleotide long non-coding RNA is filed under the name Ananas comosus (pineapple). RNAcentral describes it as "long non-coding RNA (ACOM_LNC040435)". The record is from RNAcentral. Lineage: Eukaryota; Viridiplantae; Streptophyta; Magnoliopsida; Poales; Bromeliaceae.